Symphalangus syndactylus (siamang) is the source of this 335-nucleotide long non-coding RNA. RefSeq lists it as uncharacterized. NCBI's taxonomy places the organism in Eukaryota, Metazoa, Chordata, Mammalia, Primates, Hylobatidae. The record is from RefSeq and is a predicted model, not a curated record.
CAUCAGGCCGUGAGCUCGAUGGUCCCUUCUGCACAACAGGCUGUGAAUGCCGUUCCAAUUUCCACAGUUUCACAGGAGAUGAGCCCCCUUUGCAUACACAAUGGUAAGAGUGGCAAUGCAGAAGAGAGGCUCCUCUUCCUAUGGAUUUGCUUCAUGGAGGUCAGGGCUCUCAGUGAUUUUAUUCUCACUUCUACUUAACCACUGAGGAUUUCGUCACUCUUCAAUUUCUUUUGCAAAGCAAGAGAUCCCAGGAACAUUUCAAAAAAAGGGUUGGAGGCAUAGCUGGACAAAUAAAGUACCCUCCCAUAGGACCCAGGAGCAAGAGCUUACUAAGA